Cavia porcellus (domestic guinea pig) is the source of this 101-nucleotide small nuclear RNA. Lineage: Eukaryota; Metazoa; Chordata; Mammalia; Rodentia; Caviidae. The record is from Ensembl.
UUGCUCAAGUUGGUAGCACACAUACUAAACGGGAAUGAUAGAGAUUAGCCUUGCCUCUGCACAAAGAUAACAUGCAAAUUUAUGAAGUGAUCCAUUUUUUU